Molecule: ribosomal RNA, 460 nt
Filed under: uncultured bacterium
Lineage: Bacteria
Description: partial 16S ribosomal RNA
Rfam family: Bacterial small subunit ribosomal RNA
Source: RNAcentral
CCUACGGGAGGCAGCAGUGAGGAAUAUUGGUCAAUGGGAGAGAUCCUGAACCAGCCAAGCCGCGUGAGGGAAGACGGCCCUAUGGGUUGUAAACCUCUUUUGUCGGAGAACAAAACCCGGGACGUGUCCCGGACUGCGUGUAUCCGAAGAAAAAGCAUCGGCUAACUCCGUGCCAGCAGCCGCGGUAAUACGGAGGAUGCGAGCGUUAUCCGGAUUUAUUGGGUUUAAAGGGUGCGUAGGCGGUCCGUUAAGUCAGCGGUAAAAUUGCGGGGCUCAACGUGGGAACUGCCUUUGAAACUGGCAAACUGGAGUGUGUGAGAGGAUAGUGGAAUUCCAGGUGUAGGAGUGAAAUCCGUAGAUAUCUGGAGGAACAUCAGUGGCGAAGGCGACUAUCUGGCACAUAACUGACGCUGAGGAGCGAAAGCGUGGGUAGCAAACAGGAUUAGAUACCCGUGUAGUC